Molecule: ribosomal RNA, 449 nt
Filed under: uncultured bacterium
Lineage: Bacteria
Description: bacterial SSU rRNA
Rfam family: Bacterial small subunit ribosomal RNA
Source: RNAcentral
GUGGGGAAUUUUGCACAAUGGGCGCAAGCCUGAUGCAGCAACGCCGCGUGUGUGAUGAAGGUCUUCGGAUCGUAAAGCACUUUCGACCGGGACGAAACACCCUCACCCAACACGUGAGGGCCUGACGGUACCGGGAGAAGAAGCACCGGCUAACUCUGUGCCAGCAGCCGCGGUAAUACAGAGGGUGCAAGCGUUGUUCGGAAUUAUUGGGCGUAAAGCGCGUGUAGGCGGCAUAGCAAGUCGGGUGUGAAAGCCCUCGGCUCAACCGAGGAAGUGCGCCCGAAACUGCUGUGCUUGAGUACCGGAGAGGGUAGCGGAAUUCCCCAAGUAGAGGUGAAAUUCGUAGAUAUGGGGAGGAACACCGGUGGCGAAGGCGGCUACCUGGACGGUCACUGACGCUGAGACGCGAAAGCGUGGGUAGCAAACAGGAUUAGAUACCCCAGUAGUCC